GUGAAUCAUCGAAUCUUUGAACGCAAAUUGCACUUUCUGGUAUUCCGGAAAGUAUGCCUGUUUGAGGGUCAGUUAAAUAAAAAUCGGUGUUGUUGCUGCUUUUCGUGGUGACGCGUCGGAUUUGAGGUGUCUUACGUUCGGUUAAGUGACUUAAGCUUUUUCAUGAUUUUCGAACGUAUUUAAAUUUCUUACGUACGUUUGAGAUAUGUAAUUUUUUAUUAGGUUGGGUCAUCCUCGUGAGUCG
This 244-nucleotide unclassified non-coding RNA is filed under the name Glomeraceae sp. RNAcentral describes it as "partial contains 5.8S ribosomal RNA and internal transcribed spacer 2". The stretch from base 1 to 71 matches the Rfam family "5.8S ribosomal RNA", at positions 84 to 154 of the family's 154-position model. The record is from RNAcentral. Lineage: Eukaryota; Fungi; Glomeromycota; Glomeromycetes; Glomerales; Glomeraceae.